CCGGACCGGCGCACGGGUGAGUAACACGUAUGCAACCUGCCCUCUUCAGGGGGACGAACCUUCCGAAAGGGAGGCUAAUCCCGCGUAUAUCGGUUUCGGGCAUCCGAGAUCGAGGAAAGAUUCAUCGGAAGAGGAUGGGCAUGCGGCGCAUUAGCUAGAUGGCGGGGUAACGGCCCACCGUGGCGACGAUGCGUAGGGGUUCUGAGAGGAAGGUCCCCCACACUGGUACUGAGACACGGACCAGACUCCUACGGAAGGCAGCAG
This 264-nucleotide ribosomal RNA is filed under the name uncultured bacterium. RNAcentral's name for it is "partial 16S ribosomal RNA". It matches the Rfam family "Bacterial small subunit ribosomal RNA", at positions 90 to 354 of the family's 1533-position model. The record is from RNAcentral.